Molecule: unclassified non-coding RNA, 925 nt
Filed under: Hevea brasiliensis (rubber tree)
Lineage: Eukaryota; Viridiplantae; Streptophyta; Magnoliopsida; Malpighiales; Euphorbiaceae
Source: RNAcentral
UACGAACUUCAACCUGUUACUAUAUUUGCAUGAACUGGAUGUCCAAGAAACUGAGUCACAACUCACGAGAUAAAAAGUAGUUUUAUUUGGGAUCCAUACAUCGAUUACAUCAACCAGCAACUAAAACUUGAGAAAAAUAGGUUGCUCGUGUCACUCAGCUAUUAUUUCACAUCAUAAGCUUUUACAAACAUGGUCCCUGUUCAGGGGCACUCAUUUUCGUAAACAUCAUUGGCAUAUUUCCAGUUGAUAACUUUCCAUAUAUUCUUCAGGUAAUCUGGUCUUACAUUUUUGUACUGCAAGUAGUAUGCGUGUUCCCAAACGUCUAUACCCAGAAGAGGUACCAAAUUUGCUCCUUUAGAAACCAAAGGGUCCUGAUUUGCAGUGGUUUCAACCACCAGGCGCUUAAGCUCUUUGUCCACACCAAGCCACACCCAGCCAGAGCCCUGUAAAGCAGCACCUUCUGCGUUCAUCUUUUUUACUAAAGCUUCCAGUGAACCAAAGUUAGUGUCAAUAGCCCAGCCAAGAGAACCCUUUGGAGGCUCCCCACCACCUUCGCUGACAGGGGCAAGGUUAUUCCAGAAAAUUGAGUGAUUAAUAUGACCUCCGCCGUUAAAUUUGAGGGCACUGUGCAAUUUGGCGACGGCAGGAGCAUCUCCUUUGGAGAUGGCAUCAUGGAGCUGUUCAAGGGCCUUAUUGUAAUUAGUGAUGUAAGUCUGAUGAUGCUUCUGGUGGUGGAGCUGCAUUAUAUCACCGCUAAUUGCCGGCUCCAGGGCGCCAUAGUCGUAUGGGAGAUCGGGGAGCGAAAAGGUUUGAACGCCACGAAGUUGUUGGCGGAACCCUAGCCCUGCCGCUAAGGUCCGUCUGCUCACUAAAGUCCGAAGAGCCAUUUUCGAUUAUUUUUAAUUUCUAAAUGCUUCUAGUAGAG